CGCACAGCCACAGAGACAGAGCGAACCCGCAGCUACAGGGAAUACAGACGAGGGGAGGAACACAAUACAGCGCUCUUUUGUUUUGUAGAAGCAGUUUAUGGGACGGACAGACGUGUGAAGGCCAGCGACGUGGAAGACCUCAUCGCAGAGACGCUGAGAUUCACGCCUCACACAGGAGGAAAGGAGCGACAGGCAACUUCGUGGAACUGACAGUGAAGCCGGGCAAUCAUUCCUCUGAAGUGAGCUUUUGAAUUCUUAUAAACACUCUGGGUUUCAAGUUCAGUAUCAGUUUUGGAUGCAUUUCUAAUAAACCUCAUGUGACCUCUCCAUGCGCUUACACACACACACACUGACACACACAGACUUUUUUUA
Molecule: long non-coding RNA, 372 nt
Organism: Acipenser ruthenus (sterlet)
Lineage: Eukaryota; Metazoa; Chordata; Actinopteri; Acipenseriformes; Acipenseridae
Exons: 3
Source: RefSeq, a predicted model, not a curated record